CAAAAGGCAUGGUCCUGACCUUACUAUCAGCUCUUACCCAACUUACACAUGCAAGUCUCCGCAGCCCCGUGAGUAUGCCCUUAAUCCCCCACCCGGGGACGAGGAGCGGGCAUCAGGCACAAAUUUUUAGCCCAAGACGCCUGGCCAAGCCACACCCCCAAGGGAAUUCAGCAGUGAUAAACAUUAAGCCAUAAGUGAAAACUUGACUCAGUCAGGGUUAAGAGGGCCGGUAAAACUCGUGCCAGCCACCGCGGUUAAACGAGAGGCCCUAGUUGAUAUUACUACGGCGUAAAGGGUGGUUAAGGAAAGCAUUAUAAUAAAGCCAAAUGGCCCCUUGGCCGUCAUACGCUUCUAGGUGCCCGAAGCCCAACCACACGAAAGUAGCUUUAACAAAGCCCACCUGACCCCACGAAAGCUGAGAAACAAACUGGGAUUAGAUACCCCACUAUGCUCAGCCAUAAACCUAGACAUCCACCUACAAUUAGACGUCCGCCCGGGUACUACGAGCAUUAGCUUGAAACCCAAAGGACCUGACGGUGCCUUAGACCCCCCUAGAGGAGCCUGUUCUAGAACCGAUAACCCCCGUUAAACCUCACCACUUCUAGCCACCCCAGCCUAUAUACCGCCGUCGUCAGCUUACCCUGUGAAGGCAAUAAAAGUAAGCAAAAUGGGCACAACCCAGAACGUCAGGUCGAGGUGUAGCGUACGAAGCGGAAAGAAAUGGGCUACAUUUUCUAUAAUAGAACACUACGGACAUGCAACAUGAAAUAGUGCUUGAAGGAGGAUUUAGUAGUAAAAAGGAAACAGAGUGUCCUUUUGAACCCGGCUCUGAGGCGCGUACACACCGCCCGUCACUCUCCCCUGUCAAAACGCAAAAAAUAUAUUUAAUACCAAAGCACUGACAAGGGGAGGCAAGUCGUAACAUGGUAAGUGUACCGGAAGGUGCACUUGGAUAAAACU
Molecule: non-coding RNA, 960 nt
Filed under: Tinca tinca (tench)
Lineage: Eukaryota; Metazoa; Chordata; Actinopteri; Cypriniformes; Tincidae
Description: 12S ribosomal RNA
Rfam family: Bacterial small subunit ribosomal RNA
Source: RNAcentral